RNAcentral lists this ribosomal RNA (1304 nucleotides) under Clypastraea sp. DDM0591. RNAcentral's name for it is "partial 28S ribosomal RNA". It matches the Rfam family "Eukaryotic large subunit ribosomal RNA", at positions 70 to 1121 of the family's 3401-position model. Lineage: Eukaryota; Metazoa; Arthropoda; Insecta; Coleoptera; Corylophidae. The record is from RNAcentral.
UAGGAUUCCUUUAGUAGCAGCGAGCGAACAAGGAAAAGCCCAGCACUGAAUCCCGUAGUUUUAAUUAAUUACUGGGAAAUGUAGUGUUAAGAAAAAUUCAUUUCUUAAAAUAAAUUAAUAGGUUUAAGUCCAUCUUGAACGGGGCCACUACCCAUAGAGGGUGCUAGGCCCGUAAAACUAUUAAUUUUUUUAAGAGAAUUUUUUCUGAGAGUCGGGUUGCUUGAAAGUGCAGCCCUAAGUGGGUGGUAAACUCCAUCUAAGGCUAAAUAUAACCACGAGACCGAUAGCGAACAAGUACCGUGAGGGAAAGUUGAAAAGAACUUUGAAGAGAGAGUUCAAUAGUACGUGAAACCGUUUAGGAGUAAACCUGAGAAACCCGAAAUGUCAAAAGAAAGAUUCAAUCGCGUUUCGUAUUUAAGUAAUGUUUGAAAUUUUGUGACAAUUAACAUUUAUGUUAAAUGCACUUUUUGUAUAUUUAACUUAUUUCGAACGUGUGCACUUCUUUCUUUAUAGACGUUGCAAUCUGUUGAACGUCAAUUUAAGACUUGUAAGUAAGUUUGUAACUUUUAUAGUUUCAAGACUACAAUGUUCUAAUUGACUUGUUCGACAGUAUAGUAUAUAGUGCAAAGCCGCAAUUUUUUGCGUCUAAUCUAUAACAAGCUAGAAUAAUAUUUUCAUUUGCAUUUUUAUGGUCAUUUGUUAUAUUGUUCAGCUGUUAGUUAUAGUAUAGUUAGACAGACUUUGUUCAUUGAUUAGCAACGCUAUAGCUUUGGGUACUUUCAGGACNNNNNNNNNNNNNNNNNNNNNNNNNNNNAGCAUGUACGCGAGUCAAUAGGAUAUAACUAAACCUAAAGGCGAAAUGAAAGUAAAAAUUUGUUUUUUACAAAUUAAGGGAAGAUGGGUAAAUAAACAAUGUUACCUCGCAUUCCCGGGGCGUUUCGUUUUCAUUACGAGAUGAGGCGCACCAAGAGCGUACACGCUGGGACCCGAAAGAUGGUGAACUAUGCCUGGUCAGGACGAAGUCAGGGGAAACCCUGAUGGAGGUCCGUAGCGAUUCUGACGUGCAAAUCGAUCGUCGGAACUGGGUAUAGGGGCGAAAGACCAAUCGAACCAUCUAGUAGCUGGUUCCCUCCGAAGUUUCCCUCAGGAUAGCUGGCAUUUAUUGUAUAUAGUUUCAUCCGGUAAAGCGAAUGAUUAGAGGCAUUGGGGUCGAAACGACCUCAACCUAUUCUCAAACUUUAAAUGGGUGAGAUCUUCGGCUUGCUUAAAAAGUGAAGCUGUAAGAUUUUUUUUGAAUAAAAAUG